UCCCCAGUAGCUCAGUUGGCAGAGCAGAUGGCUGUUAACCAUCGGGUCCGCGGUUCAAGUCCGUGCUGGGGAGCCA
RNAcentral lists this transfer RNA (76 nucleotides) under Desulfobacterales bacterium. Its description in RNAcentral is "tRNA-Asn". It matches the Rfam family "tRNA". From Rfam's summary of the family: Transfer RNA (tRNA) molecules are approximately 80 nucleotides in length. Their secondary structure includes four short double-helical elements and three loops (D, anti-codon, and T loops). Further hydrogen bonds mediate the characteristic L-shaped molecular structure. tRNAs have two regions of fundamental functional importance: the anti-codon, which is responsible for specific mRNA codon recognition, and the 3' end, to which the tRNAs corresponding amino acid is attached (by aminoacyl-tRNA synthetases). tRNAs cope with the degeneracy of the genetic code in two manners: having more than one tRNA (with a specific anti-codon) for a particular amino acid; and 'wobble' base-pairing, i.e. permitting non-standard base-pairing at the 3rd anti-codon position. The record is from RNAcentral. RNAcentral also lists the same sequence under 2 other names. Lineage: Bacteria; Pseudomonadati; Thermodesulfobacteriota; Desulfobacteria; Desulfobacterales.